AUUGAACGCUGGCGGCAGGCCUAACACAUGCAAGUCGAGCGGAGCGGCGGACGGGUGAGUAAUGCCCAGGAAUCUGCCUGGUCGUUGGGGAUAACGUCAGGUAACGGGCGCUAAUACCACAUCCUAUCAGAUGAGCCUAGGUCGGAUUAGCUAGUUGGUGUGGUAAAGGCCUACCAGGGCGACGUUCCAUAUCUGGGCUGAGAGGAUGAUCAGUCACACUGGAACUGAGACACGGUCCAGACUCCUACGGGAGGCAGCAGUGGGGAAUAUUGUACAAUGGGCGAAAGCCUGAUGCAGCCAUGCCGCGUGUGUGAAGAAGGUCUUCGGAUUGUAAAGCACUUUAAGUUGGGAGGCGUUACCAACAGAAUAAGCACCGGCUAACUUCGUGCCAGCCGCCGCGGUAAUAC
RNAcentral lists this ribosomal RNA (407 nucleotides) under uncultured bacterium. RNAcentral describes it as "partial 16S ribosomal RNA". It matches the Rfam family "Bacterial small subunit ribosomal RNA", at positions 30 to 526 of the family's 1533-position model. The record is from RNAcentral.